Molecule: transfer RNA, 63 nt
Filed under: Gemella morbillorum
Lineage: Bacteria; Bacillati; Bacillota; Bacilli; Caryophanales; Gemellaceae
Also listed under: 2 other names
Rfam family: tRNA
About the family: Transfer RNA (tRNA) molecules are approximately 80 nucleotides in length. Their secondary structure includes four short double-helical elements and three loops (D, anti-codon, and T loops). Further hydrogen bonds mediate the characteristic L-shaped molecular structure. tRNAs have two regions of fundamental functional importance: the anti-codon, which is responsible for specific mRNA codon recognition, and the 3' end, to which the tRNAs corresponding amino acid is attached (by aminoacyl-tRNA synthetases). tRNAs cope with the degeneracy of the genetic code in two manners: having more than one tRNA (with a specific anti-codon) for a particular amino acid; and 'wobble' base-pairing, i.e. permitting non-standard base-pairing at the 3rd anti-codon position.
Source: RNAcentral
AGUAGCUCAGUUGGUAGUAGCAUCUGACUGUUAAUCAGAGGGUCGCAGGUUCGAGUCCUGCCU